UACGUAGGGGGCUAGCGUUGUUCGGAAUCACUGGGCGUAAAGCGCACGCAGGCGGAUUGAUAAGUCAGGGGUGAAAUCCCGGGGCUCAACCUCGGAAUUGCCUUUGAUACUGUCUGUCUUGAGUUCGGGAGAGGUUGGCGGAAUUCCUAGUGUAGAGGUGAAAUUCGUAGAUAUUAGGAAGAACACCAGUGGCGAAGGCGGCCAACUGGCCCGAUACUGACGCUCAUGUGCGAAAGCGUGGGGAGCAAACAGG
This 253-nucleotide ribosomal RNA is filed under the name uncultured bacterium. RNAcentral's name for it is "partial 16S ribosomal RNA". It matches the Rfam family "Bacterial small subunit ribosomal RNA", at positions 524 to 776 of the family's 1533-position model. The record is from RNAcentral.